GUAUUUUUGCUUGCUGUGGCAGUACAUACAUUAAAACUGGAAUGAUACAGAGAAGAAUGGCUCUUGAGUAAGGAUGACACACUGAUUUGUGAAACAUUCCAGUGGAUC
Molecule: non-coding RNA, 108 nt
Organism: Ictidomys tridecemlineatus (thirteen-lined ground squirrel)
Lineage: Eukaryota; Metazoa; Chordata; Mammalia; Rodentia; Sciuridae
Source: Rfam